Leeuwenhoekiella marinoflava DSM 3653 is the source of this 74-nucleotide non-coding RNA. The record is from Rfam. Lineage: Bacteria; Pseudomonadati; Bacteroidota; Flavobacteriia; Flavobacteriales; Flavobacteriaceae.
GGCUCCGUGGCGCAACUGAAUAGCGCAUCAGAUUUCGGCUCUGAGGGUUGGGGGUUUGAAUCCCUCCGGGGUCA